Molecule: long non-coding RNA, 2120 nt
Filed under: Mus musculus (house mouse)
Lineage: Eukaryota; Metazoa; Chordata; Mammalia; Rodentia; Muridae
Description: long non-coding RNA chr3:118526150-118528270
Source: RNAcentral
ACAUUGGUUACACUGGUACAUUACAUUGUCAAAACAAUGCUCUUUUAAUGGUCAAUAUCGUGACAAUAACCACUAAAGAAAUCAUUCUUUAUUCUUCUAUAAGACUCUGUAAGAACAUUUAAAUUACCUUUAAGCAUGUAUUAUGGGUAGGGGGCAUUUGUAUUACAGUACCUACGAGGAGAUCACAGGAUAUCUUAUGGCAGUCAGUGUUCUCCUUAACCACAUGGAUCCUGAGAAACAAAUCAGUGUCCACAGCCAUGGUAACAAGAACCUCUGCCUACUGAGCUAGCUAUCCUGCUGACCAUACGCGCUUGACUAUUCUUAAAGCCCUGAAGUGAUGUACAAGAUAUCAAUGAACUGCUCGAUUUCCAAAUGAAGAUAUCACCUGCUCUCUGCAUACGUAAAAGGUCUUAUGAUUGUUUUUUGAGCUUUUUUAAUUUGUUCAUGUGACAAGGUUUCAUAUUCUUUUUUAUGUUAAUAUUGGCUAUUUGUAUUCUUUUCUUGCUAAAACCCUGUUAGAAUUCACAGUCAAAAACUAAUCCAUUUUAAUGCACUGCUCUUUUUAGUUUGCUAAUAUUUUGGUCAGUACACUUCUAUCUGUAUUCAUGACUGUAGCUCAUUUGUGAUUUUAAUUUUUUUCUGCAAUUUUGCCAUAUUUUACAAAAACUUCAACCAUUGAAUAGAAUUGUUUCUUCUAAUUAUUCUCAUCAUUUUCUGAUGGGAUUUGUGUAGAAUUGCUAUUUUUUGUUCUUAAGUACUUAGACAACUUUCCGGAUGGAUUCAGUUGAAAUAGUGUAUCUUUAUCAAAAAAAUAAAUUUAUUUACUCUUAAAGCAGAUAUGAAAUAUAUGUAUUUUGAAACUUUUUACAUUAUAUUUUUAAAUAGUUCAUUUUACUUUAAUUAUUAAAGAUAUUUAUAUAAAGUCAUUGAAUAUAUUUUUAUUUUUGCUCAUAAUUAACACUGAUAAUGAUAUGCUUCUUUUUGUGUUUUAUAUUUAUUAGCAUGUUAUAUUUCAUUUAUUUGAUCAGUGUUGUGGGUAAAUCAUUUAUUAUUCAAAAACAAAAAAGAAUUUUGUGAUUUAAAAAAUAUUUAUUUAUUUAUUUAUUUAUUUAUUUAUUUAUUUAUUAUAUGUAAGUACACUGUAGAGUGUAUUCAGACACUCCAGAAGAGAUCAUUAGAUUUUGUUAUGGAUGGUUGUGAGCCACCAUGUGGUUGCUGGGAUUGGAACUCAAGACCUUUGGAAGAGCAGUCGGCUCUCUUAACCACUGAGCCGGCUCACCAGCCCCAACUUUGUGCAUUUUUGAAUGAAUAUAUAAUGCAUGGGCUUUGUAUUUCACUUAUUAAUGACCUUUACUUUUUAGCUUCAUCUAUUUGUAUGAGUAUUCAGUAUGCUGUUUUUUCUGCUAGCAAAAUUCUUGGGAUGAAAGCUUAGACUUUGAUUAUCAACCUCAUUUUUCUCUAGUAUGAGAAUUUAAAACACUCUAAGGAACAUAACCUUAUUUUCAAUGCAAAAGUAUUUGUCUGUCCAGUGGCACUUUAUGCAUAGUCCAUGUAAGCUUCCCUUACUUUUCUGCUAGUUAUUGUAGAGAGAAUUGCUUAGUUUUCAGAAGUUGCAGAUUUUUAGCUAUUUGUCCUCUUAUUUUCUAAUUUAAAGCAGUAGUAGUUAGUAGCUUAGUCUCUAUUGUUAUUUGUAAUCUGUUACAAUUAAUUUUUGGUGUGGGUUCAUUGUACAUCUAAAGAUACUAUGCAUUCAAUCCUGAUUAUAUGCCAAAGUAUGCCAGUGGAUCAUUAGUGCUGUUGUUUAGAUCUUGCGUAUUAUUAUAGUUUUAUCAUGUUUUAUUCUAUCACCCCUAAAAAUAAUUAGUUGAAUUUUUUGUUAUAUCUUUGGAAUUGCUUAUCUUUCAUUGUUACCUUUUAUCUAGCAUUUAUCUGUAUCAUCUAUCUAUAUACUAUUGCUAAUCAUUCACCUGUGUAUCUAUUUAUUAUAUAUCUAUAUUUGCUAUUUAUACAUUCUCUCUAUAUAUACUAUAUAUAUUCUAUUUGCUAUUGAUUUAUUCCUCUACUAUCUAUCACUAUAGCAUAGAUGUGACAUUAUUGGAUAAAUAUAAUCUUUUAACUCU